AAAGGCGUAAUGAAAGUGAAGGUUCGCCACGCGCGAACCGAGGGAGGAUGGACGGUCGAUCGUGGCCGUCCCGCACUCCCUGGGCGUCUCGUUCUCAUCGCGAGAAGAGGCGCACCAAGAGCGUACACGCUGGGACCCGAAAGAUGGUGAACUAUGCCUGGUCAGGACGAAGUCAGGGGAAACCCUGAUGGAGGUCCGUAGCGAUUCUGACGUGCAAAUCGAUCGUCGGAACUGGGUAUAGGGGCGAAAGACUAAUCGAACCAUCUAGUAGCUGGUUCCCUCCGAAGUUUCCCUCAGGAUAGCUGGCGCUCGCUUCUGGCGAGUCUCAUUCGGUAAAGCGAAUGAUUAGAGGCAUUGGGGUCGAAACGGCCUCAACCUAUUCUCAAACUUUAAAUGGGUGAGAUCUCCGGCUUGCUUGAACUGUGAAGCCGCGAGAUAUCGGAUCAGAGUGCCAAGUGGGCCACUUUUGGUAAGCAGAACUGGCGCUGUGGGAUGAACCAAACGCCGAGUUAAAGCGCCUAAAUCGACGCUUAUGGGA
RNAcentral lists this ribosomal RNA (538 nucleotides) under Mimela holosericea. Its description in RNAcentral is "eukaryotic LSU rRNA". It matches the Rfam family "Eukaryotic large subunit ribosomal RNA", at positions 710 to 1209 of the family's 3401-position model. Lineage: Eukaryota; Metazoa; Arthropoda; Insecta; Coleoptera; Scarabaeidae. The record is from RNAcentral.